Molecule: ribosomal RNA, 327 nt
Filed under: uncultured eukaryote
Lineage: Eukaryota
Description: partial 18S ribosomal RNA
Rfam family: Eukaryotic small subunit ribosomal RNA
Source: RNAcentral
CCCUUAGAUGUUCUGGGCCGCACCCGCGCUACACUGAAGGAGGCAGCGUGUACUCCUGGAUCGAAAGAUUUGGGUAACCCGCGAAUCUCCUUCGUGCUAGGGAUUGAGGUUUGCAAUUAUCCUUCAUGAACGAGGAAUUCCCAGUAAGUGCAAGUCAUAAGCUUGCGCUGACUACGUCCCUGCCCUUUGUACACACCGCCCGUCGCUACUACCGAUUGAAUGAUUUAGUGAGGACUUCGGACUGGGACCGAUGCGGCUUUCGGGCUGCGUCGGUAUUCUGGAAAGAUGUCCAAACUGUAUCAUUUAGCGGAAGUAAAAGUCGUAACA